Molecule: long non-coding RNA, 9843 nt
Organism: Equus asinus (donkey)
Lineage: Eukaryota; Metazoa; Chordata; Mammalia; Perissodactyla; Equidae
Source: Ensembl
CCAGCUUUAACCCUUGCAGUCACAGGGAACCGGGACUUCAAACAACAGCUGCUAUGCCAUUUAAUUGUAAAAGAAUCCUUCCUCGUAGUGACCUGUGGUGGUCAUCUGCUGGGCUGGCUCUGACCUCUCAUAGACCAAUUCUUCAUUUAAUCCUUCAAAUACUAAAAAAAUAAUGUCUCUUUGUUUUAAGACACUUUUCCUGAGAAUCUCCUCUUCCAGAAGCCAGAUAUCCCUGCUUUUCUUGCCCAUUCCUCUGUCGACUAGAUUUGAGGAGCUUGCAGACUUUGUUGCAGAUUAUGCUGGUGCCUCUCUUUGGGUAACUGACUCUAGGAUGUCAGUGUUCUUUUUAAAGUGAGUUGUCCAAACUGGGCGCCGUACACCAGAUGUGCUCCCGAUCCCAUAGAGUACUAAGUGAUCUAUUUCCCCUUUUACCCUAAACUUCCCCAAUGCUAUUAGUUUUGGUAGAAACUACGGCUCACAGGAAGCUUAUUUUGGAAUAAUGAGGGAUUAGCAUCAGACGCCUGUGGAGCUGUCUGCCCUAAAGGAGUGUUAAAUGUAAAGAUGCCCCAGGUCCCAGGACAUCCAUCCAAGAAGUGAAGGGAAGUAUCUCUGGGUCCUAGGAUUUGGCGGGAACAGACAGAUUUGGGGUAACUCCCUCGACCCCUUGCCGCCGGGCCGCUCGUCUCUGCAAGUUUGCUCUGCUCUCUCUCUUCUCUCCACAACAUUUUCAAGUCUUUUGUGUUUCCUGUAACUUUGGCUUGCUGGUGCUUCAGUGUGCCAUGAAACCAGCCCAGCCCACAUUCUAUGCACCCUUUCAUUUCAAGUGCCCUGCUGCCCAUCUCUAGCUCAAUGUCCCUCAUACUUUACUGUCCACAAAGUCACCUGGAGAGCUUGUCAAGUGCAAAUAAUGAUUCAGUAGGUCUACAGUCGGGAGUGUACAUUUCUAAGAAGGUCCCAGCUGGCAUGGAUGCUGCUGGUCCACAGAUCCCACUGAGUAGCAAACGAAUCAGGAUGCAGCUGAGCCAGUUUCCCAAUUCCAAAUUGCUGGGCAGUAAUCUGAUUAUCUCGGCCCGCAUUGGAUUUGCUCACCCUGCGUCACACGGCUCUAAUUAGCCAUUGGCAGGAGGAGACCAGAUGUACAUAACACAAACGUGGCCGUCUUGGUCAGCCCUUUCAACAAGAGCUGUGGGUGGAGUGGGCACUUCAAAAUGCUAAAAUACAUCUACAGCAGGGGUCAACUCAAACCCUAGUAAUUUUUAUAUAAGUGGCUCACUUACCAAAUCUUGCAUAUCUUGCUCUUGCACAAUUUUUCUGAUGGGAAAGACUUUCAUUUUCCAACUUAAUUGACACAGUUCUGAUUUCCUUUAAAUCCUGUCCACACGGUUAAGUUAAACUUGUUUCUGAUGUUUGUCUGAGGCUUAUGCCUGUCAAAUUAAAAUAUUCCAGAAAAGAAAAAUAUGAAUUCUCCUCUUAAAAUAGGGUUUCAUAUUUUGGAUUCUAUUCUUCUGUCAUUUCAGUGAGAUUUUGGAAGAAAGGACAGCCGUGCUCUCAGUCAGUCGUGCUAAGGAGCCCUUUAUAUUGCAUUCUUUAUCUUUGUGCCAGGCCCCAGACUUGGUGCAAAUUUACAAUUAUAAUAGUCAAAUAUCCCUUUUCAAUAGCUUCUCUGGGUGGGCCUGGGUGGCUCUUCCGGGGCUCUGUGAGUGCGAUUUCCAAAUUGGGCCAACGAUGUCUAGAGGGAAAUACUGUAGAAGUUCAGAACUAAAACCUCCACACUCCACCCCCAGCCACAUACCAUGCAGGAGGCCGGCUUCCCCACUACGUUAAGGACACUGGGAACGAGGUCAGCAUUUUACUUCUACUCAGUAAUCUACAUAUUUACUCCUUGGUAGUGAUGCCAUGGGGCUUGGCCAUUCCCGUUGUCCUCAAGUCUUUUUGGUUUCAAGUUCAUAGGUGGUUUCUAGGGAUUGAAGCACUUGAAGGAGUGUGCGGUGGAGAGGGUGUGACGGAGAUGGAUGAGAGCAGAUAAUGAGAAAGUUCUCUGGCAUGAGACUGGGGAGGGCAAAGAAGUGAUUCUAGCUUGGGGGAGCUUAGGAAGAAAUCCUAUAGCAAUUCAUUUCAGCCCUGGAUUGCCAGAGUUGGGCCUAUUGUUCAUUCACUUUUAAAAAACUAUUCCCAGGAAAACCAUAUGAUCCAUUUGGGGUUUGCAAGAGGUCUUCCAUAAUUCAGAGAACUGGCACAUUAAUUUAAUCAGAAACUUGGCUUCUUUUCCAUCUCUUCAUUUUCUCAAUUAUGAGGCAUAGCCACAAUGGAUAGCUUCAUUUUGGGUGCAAAGAAAAUCAAAGUACUUUCAGGGGUUUUUUGGACCAAGGAGACACUCACAUGGGACCACUUUAGAGAUCAAUUUUCAAAGCCCAUGAAAAAUAAAUGGAAGUGUCCUUGUAUGAGUCUGUUAGCAUCUGUACCAUUGCAUUAUGCAUGAUCCUGGCCAUAUUCGUGGUGCGUCUAUUCAUCACACUGUUUCAACAAGAGUUUUCCAUUUUUGCCAAAUGGUAGAUAUCAAGAUAAAAUCCAUAGUUUCCUCACUCUGGUUUUCUUGGCAGGAGCCCCUUUUGUCCUUUUUUUAGCUGUCUAUAAUUUAUCUUUCAUUUGCCACGGAAGGUUGGCCUCUUACUUUUAGGGGGCAGUUUUGAAGGCUUAUACACAUUUCCCUGGUCUUAAUAUUUGCUCGAUAAUUUUUCUUUUCGCAUCACUGUCAUUUUUCUAAAAUUUCAUAUAAACUUGUUAUCGUUAGCCUGUCUAAAAGUGGAUCUCUUCUAGGUAGUUAAUAAAUGUAACUUUCAUGUAGAUAUUCUAAGAAGAAACACCCUGAUUCCCACCCUCUGUUAGUUCACACACACAUACACAGACAUAAAGUAAACAGCAUUGUGGGUUUUUUUUCUAACAGCAAUUAAUUUAUUCAUUUUAAUGCUAGAGUACGUAAAAUGGAAGCUUACAUUUGAAUUACAAAUCCAAUAAACUAAGUCAUUAUAAUUGCCUAAUUAGAAUGAUUUCCGAGUUUUAUAGGCGCUGGAUUUUUGGAUGCUGUCACAAGUAGAAAGCCCGUGUGCCAUCUUUCUUUUCUUCUACAGAUUUAAUCUAUGCUAAUAGCUAUUCAAACUCUUUCAGACUGCUGAAUAUUUGUCUUCAGAGCUUUUUCCCUUGAUGGAAAUAGUAAUUGCCGUUGCCAAAAAAAAUCAUUUUAUUCUGCGUAUGCUCCAAAAUCUCUUAUUCUAACUUGUUUUAUAUUGCUUGCUCUGCUGUUCCAGGGGUCCCAAUUUCUUCUGAUUAAGGACUACUGCUUAAGGCUUGUGAAUGACAGUCAUUAAUCUGUCAGAAAAAAAUAUUUUAGUCCAAGUCACUGUUGAUGUGGGUUGUCGUUAGAUUCAAACAUUUCCUAAGUGCAUACUAUAUGGAAGCUUUCCUGCCGACCUUUAACGGAUCACAGGCAAUGGUUUCAGAGGUGGCACUUAUGAAACUUAACAAGUUCUGCAAUUGUCAGCUUUGAUUUUUUCCCAUCAUGCCCUUAAAUUAGAGACAUAUUUGUGCAAUGACCAAGAUUUCCAGAAGCCAAAUCCCUCUCUUUUCCUAAAGAAUGAUUUUCCUGAAGGAUGGAGCUCAUUUACAAAUUUUAGCCAGUUGUUUCUUUGUUUUAGAAAGACUGGAAUUGAGACAAAUUGGAGGAAAUGUGUAAUUUUUGACAUGAAAAGGGGAAAGAUGGAUAUGAACUUAAACCAUAAAUUUUUCACUCAGCUUUAUAGGCUUAACCAGAGCUAGAAUCAUGUUCUUUUGCAACUGCAGACGUCAAGGAAAGCCAGUGUUGGCUCCAGCCGUGUUUGCAGCCUGUGCGUGUGUGCUCCCAGAGGGAGGCGAAGCGCUUUCAGCUGGUACCCACGUGAAGCGGUCCUCGUCAUUGUUUGAUGUUUGCUUUUCACUCAACAUUUUAUUAUGGAAAUUUUCAAAAUACAGCCAAGUGGAAAGAAUUUUACAGUGAACACCCAUAAACCUACCACGUAGAUCCUUCCAUUAACAUUUUGCUAUACUUGCUUUAUCACGUAUCUAACCAUCUCUGCCCCUUGAUCGAGCCAUCAAUCCAUCUCAUUUUCAAUGCAUUUCAUGCAUCUUUUCUCCCCAAAGCUCCCUCCAUACAUAGUUGUAUACUUUUAGUUGUGAGUCCUUCUAGUUGCGGCAUGUGGGAUGCCGCCUCACCAUGGCCUGAUGAGUGGUACCAUGUCCAUGCCCAGGAUCCGAAAUGGCGAAACCCUGGGCCUCUGAAGUGGAGCACACAAACUUAACCACUCGGCCACAGGGCCGUCCCCCUCAUGCAUCUCAUUUUUAAUGCAUUGUAGACACCAGUACAUUCCCCCUGCAACCCUUCAGCAUGCACAUCAUUAAUGAGAGUUCGAUAUUUCUUUAUAGUUUAUUUUUCCAUGUGAGUAAAAUUUUCUGAGUUUCACAAAAUGCAUACACACCCUGUGUAACCCAAACUCCUAUAAAAAAAAAAUUACCAUCACCCUAGAAAGUUCCCUUAUGCUGUUCCUCCUUAAUCUCUGCCCCGACACAUAUCCCGGGAAACCACCAUUCUGAUUUUUUCCACCAUAGAUAAGUUGACCUCUUCUAGAACUUCACAUAAAUGGAAUCACAUGGUACGUACUUUUGUGUGAGGCUUCUCUCACGCAGCCUAAUUUUUGUCUUCAUCCCUGCUGUUCCACGCAUCUGUAGUUUAUCCCUUUGUAUUGCUGCAUAAUAUCCUAUUACAUGAGUAUAUCAAUCACAGUUUGUCGAUCCAGUCUCUUGUCUGCUUCCAGGUUUUAGGCACUAUGAAUCAAGCCGCUAUGAACACUCUUACACAAGUCUUUCUGUGUAAAGAUGUUUUCAUUUUUCCCGGGUGGGAUUGGAAUUGUUGAAUCAUAGGAUAGGUGUAUUUUUUAGAUCUACAAGAAAGUGACAGAAUUUUUUCUAAAGUGGUUGUACAUUUUAUAUUCCCACCAGAAAUGUAUGCAUGGGUUCGGUUGUUCUAUAGUCAGCCUUUUUAAUUCUACCCAUUCUGAUGAAAUGAGUGGUAUCUCAUUGUGAUUUUAAUUUGAUUUCCCAGGCAUUUAUUUUUAAUACGUUUUAGAAAAAAGACAAGUAGGACAGCAAGUCUAUGAUUUCAGGUAUAUCAGGCUGGAGUCAGGGCCAAAUAAAAAGUGGUUCAAUUUAAGAUAAAGCUACAUAAAAAUACCAGGUAAAUAGUAGUUGAGGUGGUACACGGAUAUAGCAACAUUUAUGAAGUGGUUUGUGAACACGUUAAGUUUGAGAAAUACUAUUACGGAGGAGGUCACUUUUCAGGCUUCUCUAUUUCCAAUGGCUUUUUUGAGAUGGAGUCAAAAAACCAACAUGUAGGGCUGGCCCUGUGGCCUAGUGGUUAAGUUUGUCAUGCUCCACUUCAGUGGCUGGGGUUCGGUUCCUGAGCGUGGACCUGCAGCACUUGCUGUAUGCCAUGUGCAACGCCACGUACAUGUACGCCAUGCUGUGGUGGCGACCUACACACAAAAUAGAGGAAGAUUGGCAACAGAUAUUUGCUCAGGAUGAAUCUUCCUCAGAAAAAAAACAAAAACAAAAAAAGUCAACAUGUAAAGAUCAUUAAGAAAUUCCAGUUACCAUCAUCCAUCACAGAGUCAUUGAGCCCUGAGAUUAGGAUUCUGUGUAAGUCUGGGAUGAAAAGACUUCAGGUAUCACCCCUGCUUUUGAGAACAUGCUUUAAACAGUCUAAUUGUAUAAACGGAAACACAAGAAAACUGGAUACCAGCACCACUGGAGCCAGCCUGCUGGGUUUGGUCCUCCGUUCCCCCACUUACUAGCUGUGUGACUUCAGCAAAUCACCUAACUUCUCUGGACUUCAGUUUCCUCAUCUAUAAAACAUGGCUAAUAAUAGUAACAAUUUCAUGUGAAUUUCUUGGGAACAUAUGAGUAAAAUUAUGUAUAAGCACAUAGCAUCUUAUAAGGGGGGAGCGGGCUGCUGUUAUUAUUAAUUGGAUUAUCUUCAGCCCGAUAAGGGCAACAACUCUGGAGGCCAACACAUCCAACUGAGGGAUGAGGAAGGGGAGUAGGGAAAGCCUGGGCCUUCUGGAUGGAUAUACCUGGCAGUCAGCCUGCCACUUCUUUCACCUUCUUCUGAUACAGCAACUUGCUCUUCCUUUGGGCAACAGUGUUUCCCGGUUGUCAGCCUAGGUGAGGCUGACCCCAUUUCUUGGCCAUGUGAUCUAGGCCUGGCCAUGAGAGUCUCAUCCCUCGGUUUAUGUUGAUUUGUCCAGACAUGGACAAGGGAUCUCAGUCAGAAUAAUAAUACUUGAUCAUGGGGUUUCUGCUGAUGCUAGUGAGAAAGAGUGACUCCCUUUCUUUCUGCUGGAGUUGCUAAGCUGGUAAGACAGAGGGAUGGUGCUGUGGGGAGUUAUUUUGUAACCCUGAGGAGAACCUUCCUGAGACUGAAUCCUGCAGAGAGAGAUGGGGAGAGAGAGGUGGAGACAGAGAUGGAGAGAGAGAGAGAUUGCUGACAUUAUUUGAGCCACGGGCUCUAGCUGUCUUAAUCUGACCGUACCAGCUGUGGACUACACCAUACCUUUUUUGUCUAAGCCAGUUUGAGUUUGUGAGAGUCCUGAUGAAUACAUCUUUUAUAAUCAAGGUCACAUUUUUGCAAGGUAAUUGCCUUGAGUUAAGGGAGAUUUGCUGUAUUCAUGUAAAUGACUUUCUCCACUGAAACUUCUUCAGGUGGUUUGUCUAGAUUACACGGACACACUGGCAGAGCCGGGUUUAUGAAAUCCUCCAACAGAUCAGGAGGCAGGUUUGGAGAGAAAUGAUGCCAGUCAGUUUGUUGUGCAGCAGCCAUGGGAACUACGAGGACACACAUUCUCAGAGUCAUCGUGACUCCAUGUUGGUGUCUUGGUUGUUGCUACUGAGACUACCCGAACCUCCACCUCCAGGCCUCAGUACUCUACCUUAUAUCCCUGGAUUAAGACUCACAACAACAUGGUGUGAUCCUGUGGUUCCAAUUGGCCCACCCAUCUGGAAAAGGUGCCUUUCAAUCAUCUGGUUGCACUGACACUAAGCCAAAGAUUAUCACAUCUAUAUUUAGUGACUUCCUAAUCACAGUAUCAAUAAAUAUGGCUUCUUACUGCAAAGCUGGAUAAUUGCACUUAUUCUUGUUAGCAUCUCAUGUGUCUCAAAGAGUAAUCACAGAUAAUGAGAAGUUUAGGUUCAAAGGAUUGUGCAUAUUAUUGAAUGAUGAGUGGAGGGUGCUUGAAAGGUGUCAUAGGGGUGAAUCACUGAGGUGAACACAGCCUGCUCAUGCACAGCUGAAGAAGAAGUGCAUCAGUUCUUCCAUGGGCCAUCAUUGCAACUCCACAUGGGCCUAAAGUAUGGAACCCAAACCACACAGGAAAAUGAAGAGAAGUGGUGCUAAGAAAUAAGUGGGUUUUUGGGGUGGGGGGUUGGGAGGAGAGGACAGAAGCCAGGAAAAGUAGUGAUGAUUAGCAAGAAUUUUCUGGCUAUGGUCCAUUCUCUCUUCACUUCAUUUAUUUGUUUAUUUUUAUGCUCAAUUCACUCAUUCAAAAAAAAGAUUGAGACACAACUUAUGUUGCAGGCUCUGUACACAGUGCUGGGUAUAAAAUGCUGCUGCCCGCACAGAGCGCAUAGUCCAUCUGGGGAGACAGAUAUAAGGUGGCAUGGUGAUGAUUACUACAGAGCACAGGGACAGUGGGAGAUGUUAGAAUCUAAUGUGGUCUGCAUGGGUCAGGACAGACCUCCCUGAGGACCUGACAUUGAAGUUGAAACAAGAGGGAGGAGAAAGAGGAGUUGGAUCCAGAGGAAGCAAGCAGUAGAAAGACCACUUCUGAGCAAAAGAACAGGUGAAUAUGAAGGCCCAGAGAUGGGGAGCAGCCUGCUCUUUGGAAGAACUGAAAAAACAAAAUGGUUGGAGGAAGGCGAAUGAGACAGGUGUGGCUGGAGACGUGGGCGGGAGCUGAAACAGGCGAGAGUCUCCUCCUCGUGUCUCCGAGGCUUUUUCUCUAAAAGCUGGCAGUGCCACAACGCCAACAGGUUUAACUGGAAAUUGCACAUUUUCCUGUGAUUAGCACUUAUCUAGUUUUAGAUAUGCAUGAGAGUCUUUUCACUUUAUCUUAUAGUUUUAAUCACUGUAGAUAAAAAUGAGGCUGAGGAAUUUAUGAGGCAAAAAAAUUAAUAAGUCGGGCAACAAGGACAGAGAACUUAAGAGAAAGGAGUUGGGGAUUUUGUUUGUUCCGUGAUACCAUUUUAAAAGUAUUUUUUUUCUCCUACGUGCAUGUUUUGGAAAAUAGAAAUAAAAGCUGUCAAACCGUUUUGUGAAAGAAUUGUCUUUCUAAAUUUUGUUACAUUUUUAAGACUGUAACUGCUUGUGAGAUUUAAGAGUCUAUUUUAGAAUAUGCCAAAAUGUAUAAGGUAGCAACUAGAAUUUUAGAACAAUGUGGUAAUUGAGAGUGUGCGCUCUGGACUCAGGCUAAUCAAGUUCAAGUUCAACUUCUCAGUCACUAGAUGUGUGACUGAAUAUGUAGUUUAACCUCUCUUUCUCUUAUCUACAAAAUGGAGACAAUAAUAUUAGUUACAGUGUUGUUGUGAGGAUUAUGAAAUAUACCUUUAGGCAAGGUGGCUGGUAAAUAAAAUAGCAUAUGAUCAAUCAAUCAUUAAUAAUACAUAAAAAUUUUAGUGGGAAAUUAUCUUUUCCCACUAAAUAGAUGGUGAAAAAUUCCAUGCUUAAUGUAAUAAACCAUUUUUUAAUACAUAUGUGGCAAAUAACAGAAACCUAAGUUCACAGACACAAACAAUAGAUAAUAUAUAAAAGUUUUGGAAGACAAUCUGAAGGAUUAGAAGUCUGGAUAAGAACCAGUAAAUAAGAGAUUCAUUAAAGUUAACCUAUGAUAGAAUUUAAAUACAAAAAGGUAGGGCCAGCCCCGUGGUGGCCGAGUGGUUAAAUUCGCGCGCUCUUCUUCGGCGGCCCAGGGUUUCUCUGGUUUGGAUCCUGGGUGCAGGAUCCAUGGCGUCAAGCCAUGUUGAGCGGAGUCCCACAUGCCACAACUAGAAUUACCCACAAAUAAAAGUAUACAACUAUCUACUGGGGGGAUUUGGGGAGAAAAAGCAAAAAAAAAAAAAAAAAGAUUGGCAAGUUGUUAACUCAGGCGCCAAUCUCUAAAAAAAAAAAAAAAGACAGACAAGUUUAAAUGGGUACAUAAACAGAGAUGUUAAAAGAAAAGGCAAGAAGUCAUUUUAGAGGGUUUGAAAAGCAGUGAAAAGAAUUUUAGUUGAUGCUUGAAAGCGAAGGUGCAGAGAGAAGAGUGGACAACUCAUAAGAAUCUUCAAGGGCGAGGGAAGUGAGGGGAACAUAGGAAGCCGCCACGUGUGAUGGAGCGGGGAGUUGGGGGUCUGCAUAAAAGCACUCAGAUGAAAAUCUGUGUAUGUGUGGAAAAUCGUGCUGACCCGACAGUUUGCAGCCCCAGGAAUGAAGUGAUAAAUCCUCCCAAUUAACAGAAGAUAACCAUGGGCACCCUGGACGAAUCCCCUCUGGGGCGUAAAUCACGUUCUGCGCCCUUCUGUCUCUCGGGAUCUGCUCCCCGCCCUCCGCCCUGGCUCCUGCUGAGCCACGUUAGCCCGGGCCUGUGGCUGUUUGGGAAGACCAUCCCUCCCCAGGCUUAGUAUACCCAGCAGUUCCUCAGUUGAGUUAUGCUGGGAUUUGAGCCUAAUUAUUAUGGGUGCGAUGGCCAGGAGGGGUGUGUGUGGGGGCAGAUCACUUCCUAUGAG